GAAAAAACCGGAAACAGUUUUACUUUCCAUGGAUCCGUUGCAUUGACCAGACCGGUCUCCCUUAAAAUCUCCCAGCAGCGCGCGCGGUGUUUUAGAAUGCAGCAUUAUGAGAGGCACGCGGGGCUGAAGGUAACAUGGCGGAUGGACAGGGCUCCGUCAUGAUCGACAUCUGCUGAAUACCACAAGCGCACGAUAGUUUGUUAAAGUGGUCCCAGGGUUGCUAGAGCUCGUCUCGGGCGGCUUCUGCUGAGUGAAGGCGCGAUACAUAGACUGACAGCACAGAUGUGGGAGGUGAAUGCACCCUCAAGGGCCUUUGUGUCAACAUGAACGAAGAUCCAGAGAGGCUGUUGAAAGAAUAUAAGGUAUGUUUGUCUGGUUAGACUUUAUUCUUUUUACAUUUUACUGUAAAAUAAAUUAAUAAAACACAUUUAUACAGAAAAAGAAACUGGGACGCUUAUCCAAAUGUCUGUUUCUCCCACUAAAACAAAUGUCUACAUUUUUGCAAAGAUGGAUGUACAUAUUGUGCAUUUCCCUUUAGUGGCUUCAGCAUUCACCUGCACUCUCAACAGCAGCCCCUCCCAUACCCACAAAAACAAGCGGGUCCUCGCAUGCUGAUGUCACAGAUUGAGAACAGCCUCCUUAAGGAAGAGUCUGCUCUGCCAACUCUUGGGCUGUAGUUCAAUACUUACAGUAAGUGGUGAUCCAAUUUGAUUCACUAAUUAAGCUAAAAAAUUCACAAAUUGAACCAGGAUUCUUACUUUUGAAUAAGGCUGGAAAGAGUAUCCGGGUGCACGGAUACUCGCAAUUAUCUUGGGAUGAUGUAUUUUUGCUCUGCAAUGCAGAAUAAUGUUGGAUUUUAAGCUUAUGAGCUAAAACUAAGCUGAAAAAGCAGCGUUACUUUCACCAGACGUAAACACAUCUUUGUGUGGGCGAAGCUUCCUGUUUUCAAAGUAAGACUAGCGGGACCCAGAGGAGGACAUAUGGAUGGAGUGAGACGAUGCGAUCUUGAGUCUUAAAGGAAACAGCUGGAAAAAAAAGAAGGCUUUAUCUUUUUGACAUAUAUAUUUUUAUUUUUUUCCCAUUGUGGGUUUGUGUGUUCUGAACAGACAGGUACAAACAAUGUUUUUGUUCAUUUACAUUUCAAAGUAGACUUUUAAAGGCACUAGAAUGAGGUGAAAUUAAGAUCAGCUUAAAGUUAACGAAGAAUCACAUUGUAAAUUUUAAUUUAAACGAACAUUUGAAAAUAAAAUUGUAAAUCUGAAAAGAAAAGUAUUUGAAAGAAAUAUUGAAAAAAAA
Oryzias melastigma (Indian medaka) is the source of this 1296-nucleotide long non-coding RNA. RefSeq lists it as uncharacterized. The transcript is spliced from 4 exons. The record is from RefSeq and is a predicted model, not a curated record. Lineage: Eukaryota; Metazoa; Chordata; Actinopteri; Beloniformes; Adrianichthyidae.